This is a long non-coding RNA of Pseudopipra pipra, 632 nucleotides long. RefSeq lists it as uncharacterized. The record is from RefSeq and is a predicted model, not a curated record. The transcript is spliced from 3 exons. Lineage: Eukaryota; Metazoa; Chordata; Aves; Passeriformes; Pipridae.
UUUUACUCUUACAAAGGUUUUCUCCACAUCUGAAACUCAGUAGCAUCUGCUAAGAAGUUUUCUUGCAAUAUGCACAGUUAUUUACCAGGAGACAUACUGAGAUCAUCAAACUCCAUUCCUGAAGCUGAAACCAAUACAUCUUGAAACAUAAGAAACAAACCACACAAAAUAUAUCAGAUCUAGAAAAAAGUGUGCUACAUUUCACUAAGCAUAAACUGUCUAAAUUGCAUGGUUCACACUGAUUCCAUCAGGUACUGAAAAUCCUUGGACCAAGAGCAGUGAAACAAGAUGUUUUCCACAGUUCUUUCUUUUUUAUAAAAGUUCUUUUACAAUGAAAAUUAAAAGCUUUGGACACUGUUUUUUCUUAUAAUUUCUAGGAGCACUGAGUGUGCACAGUAAACAUAGAAUUUGUAAUGCCUUCACAAUAAAAGUUAUAUACAUAGCAUUCAUCAAACCUACUGAAAACUUGACAUACAUCAGAUGUACUGCACACAUGCAUGUUUCUUUUUAGGAACUCCUUACAAAUAGGUAUAACAAAGGAUCUAAUGAAUAGAAAUUCAGAAAAGUCAUGGUAAAAGAACAAAGGAAAUUUAAAUUUAAAUGUAACAUACUUUUUAAAAAGUUUAGGAUUU